CGCAUCUGUGCAUGCAGCAUAUCAAUAAGCGGAGGAAAAGAAACUAACAAGGAUUCCCCUAGUAACGGCGAGUGAAGCGGGAAGAGCUCAAAUUUGAAAUCUUAAAGGGUUUCCCUUUACGAAUUGUAGUUUAAAGAAGUGUUUUCUGUUGAGGUUUUGGUAAAAGUUCUUUGGAAUAGGACAUCAUAGAGGGUGAGAAUCCCGUAUUUGACCUUUACUUUCAACUUUGUGAUACACUUUCAAAGAGUCGGAUUGUUUGGGAAUGCAGUCCAAAAUGGGUGGUAAAUUUCAUCUAAAGCUAAAUAUUGGCGAGAGACCGAUAGCGAACAAGUACCGUGAGGGAAAGAUGAAAAGAACUUUGAAAAGAGAGUUAAACAGUACGUGAAAUUGUCAAAAGGGAAGCGUUUGACACCAGUGUUGUUUUCCUGAAAAUCAAUUAAAGAACUGUUUAUGCUAAGUUGUUUAGACUUUAUCAGCUAAUCUGUUUAGUUUUGAGCUUUUCUUUAAUGCACUUUUCAGUUAACAAGUCAACAUCAAUUUCUUUUGCUGUAAAAAAGCUUGAGGAAGGUGGCUUGAGAUUCGUCUUAAGUGUUUAUAGCCUCUUGCCUAUGCAGUCGGAGAGAUUGAGGUCUGCAGCGUAGAUCCUUCGGGGCUAAAUGCAUUUGUGCUAAGUUAUAGCAUUUUAUAGACAACUUGUUGACUAUGAUUUGUCUUGUAGCUUACUCGCUUAUGUUAUUUUACCUACGCUUAGGAUGUUGAAUCUGUGCGAGACUAC
This 775-nucleotide ribosomal RNA is filed under the name uncultured Neocallimastigales. RNAcentral describes it as "partial large subunit ribosomal RNA". It matches the Rfam family "Eukaryotic large subunit ribosomal RNA", at positions 26 to 644 of the family's 3401-position model. The record is from RNAcentral. Lineage: Eukaryota; Fungi; Neocallimastigomycota; Neocallimastigomycetes; Neocallimastigales.